Molecule: ribosomal RNA, 433 nt
Filed under: uncultured bacterium
Lineage: Bacteria
Description: partial 16S ribosomal RNA
Rfam family: Bacterial small subunit ribosomal RNA
Source: RNAcentral
AGCGAACGCUGGCGGCAGGCUUAACACAUGCAAGUCGAGCGGGCACUUCGGUGUCAGCGGCAGACGGGUGAGUAACACGUGGGAACGUACCCUUUGGUUCGGAAUAACGCUGGGAAACUAGCGCUAAUACCGGAUACGCCCUUUUGGGGAAAGGCUUGCUGCCGAAGGAUCGGCCCGCGUCUGAUUAGCUAGUUGGUGGGGUAAUGGCCUACCAAGGCGACGAUCAGUAGCUGGUCUGAGAGGAUGAUCAGCCACACUGGGACUGAGACACGGCCCAGACUCCUACGGGAGGAAGCAGUGGGGAAUAUUGGACAAUGGGCGCAAGCCUGAUCCAGCCAUGCCGCGUGAGUGAUGAAGGCCUUAGGGUUGUAAAGCUCUUUUGUCCGGGACGAUAAUGACGGUACCGGAAGAAUAAGCCCCGGCUAACUUCGUG